RNAcentral lists this ribosomal RNA (420 nucleotides) under uncultured bacterium. Its description in RNAcentral is "bacterial SSU rRNA". It matches the Rfam family "Bacterial small subunit ribosomal RNA", at positions 356 to 773 of the family's 1533-position model. The record is from RNAcentral.
AGGGAAUAUUGGGCAAUGGGCGAGAGCCUGACCCAGCCAUGCCGCGUGCAGGAAGAAGGCUUUCUGAGUCGUAAACUGCUUUUGACAGGGAAGAAUAAGCACUACGUGUAGUGUGAUGACGGUACCUGCAGAAUAAGCACCGGCUAACUCCGUGCCAGCAGCCGCGGUAAUACGGAGGGUGCGAGCGUUGUCCGGAUUUAUUGGGUUUAAAGGGUGCGUAGGCGGCCGUUUAAGUCCGGGGUGAAAGCCCGCUGCUCAACAGCGGAACUGCCCUGGAUACUGGAUGGCUUGAGUACAGACGAGGUUGGCGGAAUGGACUGAGUAGCGGUGAAAUGCAUAGAUACAGUCCAGAACCCCGAUUGCGAAGGCAGCUGACUAGGCUGUUACUGACGCUGAGGCACGAAAGCGUGGGGAGCGAAC